ACUUUACUCUCUCUUGCUUUUCUUUUGUUUUAUUUUAUUAAUUUUCUUCCCAAAAUAUCUUUUAAGUUUAUGAUAUUUGUCUAAUUAUUAAUGGGGGUGCAUUGAAUAAGUUUAUAAUUGAUGGGGUUUACUUUAAAUUGUUUAUAUAUUGGCGCAUUAGUUGUUUUAUUACUGGAUUAAUUGGUGCAAUUGUUAGGUUGAUCAAAAUAAUGGGUUUGAACUUUGAAUAUGUUUAGGGAUUAGGGCUUGCAUUUUUCUCAUUAUUUGGUUUUUAAUAUUGGUAAUUAGUUGUGUUGUUCAGUUGAUUUGUUUAUUUGAUCAUUGAGUGGUUUGCUUCAAUUGUGUGAAGUUUGUGUUAAUGGUUAAUUGUUGACAUAAUGGUUUUGAACUUUGAUUAUGUUUAGGAAUUAGGGCUUGCAUUUUUGUCAUCAUUUGGUUUUGAUUAUUGGUAAUUAGCUGUGUUGUUCAGCUGAUUUUGUUAUUUGGUCAUGGAGUUGAUUUAUUCCAUUGUCGGAUGAAUAUGUUUAUGGUUAAUUGUUGAUAUAAUUGAUUGAUGUCCAAUUUUAUGUUUGAGUCGAUUGAUCAUUAUCGAAGUUAUGUACAAGUAUAUAUUAUCCGAUUUUUUAGUGUAACUGAAGAUAGGGAGAGCUAUAAACACUUUCUUGAUUAUUCAAACAUUGGAUAUUUGGAUGAUAACUUAUCAACUCUUCGUUGAAUUUUCAAGGCCCCAUUUUUUAUAAUUAGACGGCCGUGUGUGCAAGAGUAGUUGACCUAUAAUUAUUUGAACACAAGGUUAUGAAUCACAGACAACAUUAUUGAAGUUGCAGCCCUUGCAGGUCUAUCAAGUUACAAUUUUAUAUUCAACAAAUGGGUUCUUCAUUAAAAGGCCCAUAAUUUUUUUAUUUCGCAAAGCAUUCAAGUGUUUGCAGAGGAAAAUCAUUGUUAAUAGUAUCAAAGAUUGUUGUAAAAGCAGAGUUGUACCCAAAUGCGUUAUGAUGAUAUUUUGAGGGUUUGGUAGUGUGAUAUGAAAGGGUUAGUAUUAAAGGUUGUGGUGUCACAUUUGAUCAGUCGCACUAGGGUUUUUAAUCAAAAGUUGUGUACUCAGAUAGCUAGAGUAACAAGCACAUCUGCUUGAUGAAUCAGAAGAGGAACAUGCUAAUUUACCUGUGAAAUGAGAUGAUGCUAUUGCCUUGGUCUGGGUCUCGGGAACAGGACUGAAAGUGGAGCCAAAUGUAGAGUUUUGCUAGGAAUGCCAAGAGUUAAUUGGUUUGAUUUGAAUGUUUAUGAGCUAAGAUACUGAUAUUUUAUGACUAUCUGUGGGUGGGAAGUGUUUGGGGGUCAUUACACAGACUGUAAUUGAAGAUUUUCUGUUUUCUUUUUAGGAACAACUUUUGUUGUAAGGAUGUGCACAUUCUAUGACCCAUACCUUAUAUAGGAGAUACACUUGGUAAUCAUUGUUUUUUAUUUGUGAAGUGUCUGUAGUUUCUUUGCUGGGAUUUGAGCAAUAAUUGGGAAUUCUUUUUAUCUUAUAAGAAAAUAGAGUGUGAGUGUUGCUGUAAAAAAGGUUGACUAUGAGGUUUUGUUGACUAUUUUACCUUAUAUAGCUUUUGUUGACUAUUUGACUUCAGAAGCUAGAGCACUACAUGAGUGCUGUUGAUUCUUCCGAUCUUUGCUGGAUGAAACAAAAGGUGUUCGACUCUUCGUUAUACAUUGGUGUAGUUUCGUAAAGUUUUUGGGGUUAGACUAGAGAACUUGUUCCCAUUAUUUUUUGGAUAACUCCCCGAAAUCUAACUAGCCCGUGUAGAAUUCAUUAGGUUAUAACUCAUGGCAAUACUCCUUGACUCCAAAUUUUCCCAUGUCUAUCCUAGAAAAAGCAAUUUUUGCUGAAAUAUCUCUUGACCGACUUUUGAUUAUAUAUAAGCCUUUCUCAAGUACCUUAUAUCAAAGAUCUUGAUCAUUUGUGAGAUUUUGCCUUCAUUCUUAGAUCAUUAUAUAAAUCCAGGUUGGGAUUAGGGAAGAUGAUAUUAAGGCAAUUGGAGCACAUAAUGUUGUCACAAACUUUUACUGCCAUUACCAGGAGUUCCACUCUUCAGAGCAUGAGGUGUUCCUCCAUCACCCCGCUCUUCACAUCAUUAAGAAGGCUUCGAACUUUCUCCACCAUGAUUACUAGAUCCUGCAAGAAGGCGGGUUUUAGGUUUCAGGCGAAGUUUAUAUUGGUUGUUUUUUUUAUGUUUUAUACUUUUAUUUACUCAUUUAGACAGAUACAUGAUUGAUUCUUCCCUGGGUGUCCAAACAUGCAUUGUAAUUAUGGAAUCAAUUGACUGCUCAGUUCUUAGUUCUUACAUGUCAUGCAUAUAAAGGAAAACUUUUACUUGUACAAAGGCUCAAUUAGAGAGAUUAGUUAAGAAUGGAAGACAUAAAUAUUCUGAAUUUCUAGAUGCUUAGUCGCUUAGAUCAAAGGCACGUAUAAGUGUUGUAGAGGCACUUGGUAUGUAAUUUUUUGCUCGACUAAGAUUUGAUGAUAGGGAAUUUUGACAUGAAAACUGCUUUUGAAUGCCCACAAUUUACAUAUUACCUAUGAAUCAGAACAUCCAAAGUUUAAAGAAGACAAUGAUCUGAUAGUUCUGAGAAACCUAUUGACAGCGCUAUUCUUAUGAGAAUGAAGCAGUUUAGAGCUAUGAACAAACUGAAGAAGCUUGCUCUCAUGGUAACAUACCAAAUACCUAUAUAUUGUUAGAACAACUAUUGUAUAAUUGACAAAUGCCUGUGUAAAAUCCAAAUUUUGUUAAGCUCAUGCUAUAACCUAUCUUGGUCUAUUAGGGAAUCAUCCGAGAAUUCGUAACUCUUUUGUAUCUCUCUCAAUUUAUUGAUAUUAUUCUUAGUAGGUCAUUUAAUUUGUUGCAAUUUGAAUUAAUUUUGUUUUUGAAAAGUAUGGAUUUGUGUUUAGGGAUCUUACAAAAUGUGGGUCAAAUUUGAAUAUAGGAAUCGAUUGUAUUGAUUUUGAUGUGAGUAGAAUUUGAAUUUCAAUGUUGAAAUUUGCUAUUAUUUUGGUUGGUUGAGCAUUUGAGCUUGUGUUAUUCAAUGUCAUUUUGGAUUUGGGAAGGGAAUCUUGGGGUUUGUAGGAAAUGGCUGUAAGAUUCAUGGAUGGUUUCGUGAUUUAUAGAGAGAAUGUACAUGGUGCUGGAGUUAAUUUGGAUUAGUUUUUGUUUGGCAGAUGGAAUAGAAAAUCUAGAAAUUUAAGCCAAUAAUGAAAUCCAACGAACAAAUAAUGAAAUAAUAAUGGAAUUAAAUUUAAAGAAAGGAAGGUUAGCUCAUCUUGUUGAACCUGGUGCCCCUUGUUUACUUAGCUGCUGUUCUUGAGUUCCUUGUUCUCUCCUCCAUUGAAGUAGUAUUUGAGCCUGGUGGGGGAGUCCGUGAAUCAUGUCCUUUUCGAAUGCACAAAGGCUAAAGUGGUAUGUGCGAGUAGUAUCUUUCAAGCUCUGAUUGAUGAAGCUCCUGUAGGUUCUUUUAUGGAUGAUUUGUUGUGGUUUAACAGCAAAUUAGAGAAACAGGAAUUGCGUAUAUUGCUUGCUCUGGCCUGGUCUAGUUGGUAUUGCAGGAACAAAUUUUUUUCAUGAGCAACAGUCCCUAAAUGUUGUAUACACAGCAGCGAGUUUUGCUAAACUUAUGUCUAAUUAUUGCUCCUACGCUAAGCGAGUCUUUGUGAAGCAUGGUGCCCCUGCUGCCCCUAUGGUCAGCUCUUGGACGAAGCCUCCUGCUGGGGUUACCAAGUUCAAUAUUGAUGCCCAUAUUACUGGGUCGUUUGCUUCGGUUGGGGCUGUGGCUCGAAAUGAAAAUGGUGGUUUGGUGUGGGCUACUGUCAGAUGGCUGGAAGGAGAAUGGAUGUGGAAAGUGCUGAAUCUGCUCCUGUUAGAUUCGGUUUACAACAAGCUAGUAGAUGGGGUAGCAGGAACAACAGCUUGGGUUUCUCUCCUCUAUGGCUAAUUUAUGAUGAUAUUAGAGCUAUGUCUAAAUGGUUUGAUUUUUGUUACUUUUCACAUGUCAAGAGAGUAGGCAAUGUGGUGGCUCAUCUCGUUGCGAGGUGGGAGACCCGUAGUAGUGCGGAGUUAGUUUGUAUGAACUCCUUUCUCCAAAGCUUAAUUACUUGGCGGAGAGCGAUAUUUAAUAAAUAGCCUGCUAAUCUUGCUUCAAAAAAAA
Molecule: long non-coding RNA, 4197 nt
Organism: Chenopodium quinoa (quinoa)
Lineage: Eukaryota; Viridiplantae; Streptophyta; Magnoliopsida; Caryophyllales; Amaranthaceae
Exons: 2
Source: RefSeq, a predicted model, not a curated record